Molecule: ribosomal RNA, 448 nt
Filed under: uncultured bacterium
Lineage: Bacteria
Description: SSU rRNA
Rfam family: Bacterial small subunit ribosomal RNA
Source: RNAcentral
AGGACGAACGCUGGCGACGUGCCUAAUACAUGCAAGUCGAACGAGGUCUUCGGACCGAGUGGCGAACGGGUGAGUAACACGUUGGUACCUACCCCGAAGUGGGGAAUAACUGCCCGAAAGGGUGGCUAAUACCGCAUAAUACCGCAAGGUUAAAGCAGUAAUGCGCUUCGGGAGGGGCCUGCGUCCCAUUAGCUAGUUGGUAGGGUAAUGGCCUACCAAGGCGACGAUGGGUAGCUGGAUCGAGAGGUUGACCAGCCACACUGGGACUGAGAUACGGCCCAGACUCCUACGGGAGGCAGCAGUAAGGAAUCUUCCACAAUGGACGAAAGUCUGAUGGAGCAACGCCGCGUGCAGGAUGACGGCCUUCGGGUUGUAAACUGCUUUUAUAUGGGAAGAUUAUGACGGUACCAUAUGAAUAAGGACCGGCUAACUACGUGCCAGCAGCCGC